This 497-nucleotide ribosomal RNA is filed under the name uncultured bacterium. RNAcentral's name for it is "partial 16S ribosomal RNA". It matches the Rfam family "Bacterial small subunit ribosomal RNA", at positions 28 to 507 of the family's 1533-position model. The record is from RNAcentral.
GAUGAACGCUGGCGGCGUGCCUAAUACAUGCAAGUCGAGCGAACAGAUGAGGAGCUUGCUCCUCUGACGUUAGCGGCGGACGGGUGAGUAACACGUGGAUAACCUACCUAUAAGACUGGGAUAACUUCGGGAAAACGGAGCUAAUACCGGAUAAUAUAUUGAACCGCAGGGUUCAAUAGUGAAAGACGGCUUUGCCGUCACAUAUAGCUGGAUCCGCGCCGCAUUAGCUAGUUGGUAAGGUAACGGCUUACCAAGGCGACGAUGCGUAGCCGACCUGAGAGGGUGAUCGGCCACACUGGAACUGAGACACGGUCCAGACUCCUACGGGAGGCAGCAGUAGGGAAUCUUCCGCAAUGGGCGAAAGCCUGACGGAGCAACGCCGCGUGAGUGAUGAAGGUCUUCGGAUCGUAAAACUCUGUUAUUAGGGAAGAACAAAUGUGUAAGUAACUAUGCACGUCUUGACGGUACCUAAUCAGAAAGCCACGGCUAACUACGUG